GAUGAACGCUGGCGGCGUGCCUAAUACAUGCAAGUCGAGCGGACGCACGGGAAGCUUGCUUCUCUGCUGUUAGCGGCGGACGGGUGAGUAACACGUGGAUAACCUACCUAUAAGACUGGGAUAACUUCGGGAAACCAGAUCUAAUACCAGAUCAUAUUUUGAACCGCAUGGAUCAAAAGAGAAUGACGGUCUUGCUGUCACUAUUAGCUGAAUCCGCGCUGCAUUAGCUAGUUGGUAAGGUAACGGCUUACCAAGGCAACGAUGCAUAGCCGACCUGAGAGGGUGAUCAGCCACACUGGAACUGAGACACGGUCCAGACUCCUACGGGAGGCGGCAGUAGGGAAUCUUCCGCAAUGGGCGAAAGCCUGACGGAGCAACGCCGCGUGAGUGAUGAAGGUCUUCGGAUCGUAAAACUCUGUUAUUGGGGAAGAACAGAUGUGUAAGUAACCGUGGAUAUCUUGACGGUACCUAAACAGAAAGCAACGGCUAACUACGUG
RNAcentral lists this ribosomal RNA (497 nucleotides) under uncultured bacterium. RNAcentral describes it as "partial 16S ribosomal RNA". It matches the Rfam family "Bacterial small subunit ribosomal RNA", at positions 28 to 507 of the family's 1533-position model. The record is from RNAcentral.